Molecule: transfer RNA, 457 nt
Filed under: uncultured Alphaproteobacteria bacterium
Lineage: Bacteria; Pseudomonadati; Pseudomonadota; Alphaproteobacteria
Description: partial 16S-23S ribosomal RNA intergenic spacer
Rfam family: tRNA (bases 190-262)
Source: RNAcentral
CCUCCUUUCUAAAGGAAAAAAAACUUUAAACUAAGUGUACGUUUAAAGUAACCACCGUCUAUUUAUUUUGCUUUUUUCAACUAUGUUGAUAAAGGGCAUUGAUUGGGCGUGUAACUCAGUUGGUUAGAGCGCGCGCUUGAUAAGCGUGAGGUCGGAGGUUCAAGUCCUCCCUCGCCCACCAACACUGUUGGGGGAUUAGCUCAGCUGGGAGAGCGCCUGAUUUGCAUUCAGGAGGUCAGCGGUUCGAUCCCGCUAUCCUCCACCAACAAUCUUUAUAAUCGUAAAUAUGUAAGCUGAUAACACAAACGAAUAACUUUGCACGAGUUAUUCGUUUAAUUAAACAACUAAUAUAACAACAAAUAACUACAAAAAGUUAUUAACAACAAAACUUUUCACUGUGUGUUAAUAAUUCAAGCGCGUAAGAGCAUCUGGUGGAUGCCUUGGCACAAAGAGGCGA